UGAACUAAGUGUAUUUGUAUCAGAAAAUCUAUUUUGAUAUAUAAGAAUGUGUCGCAUAGCUGUGCAAGAGGCGAAUGCAAGCCCAUGUUGUGCCGCCUAGAGUGUGAUUUUGGUGCCAUGGCUGACCGAAAGGAGUGAGUGGGCGUGGUGGCCGUGGGUGUGGUACUUGAUGCAUGUAUGUUAUUGUUAAACCCAUUGAAAUUAGUUGUAGGUGAUAAGUUGUGCGUUUGAUUUCUGCAUGAAUUAUGUGUACUGAUGAUAAAUUAAUGAUAAUUUCAACUUAAUAUUUCAAGAAAAAAAAAACAGGCGGGAGUUAAAGCAUGUUUAAUUCCAGCCUCAUUUUUUUUCAUGGUGUACAAGCACAGACCAUGCAUUGACUGCUGCCUGGUACUGGUAUUAAAAUGAAUAGAUACAUGACUAUGUCUAUAUUCUGUUGUUUUGUGUCAUCAUAUCAAUAAGCUGUCUCAUCAAUUCACAUGAUGUACACAAUAAUGGGUCCCUGUUUUAUUAUGUUUACUAGGAGGGAGAUUAUUUUGUAAAUGUGAUUUUAAAUGUAGUAGAAAUUCAGAUAAUGUCAGAGACUUGCUUUUUAACUUUCCAAUAUAUUUAAUGUUAAUAUAUUCUAUAAUUCUAAGCAGUGGAGUACAUUUCUAGCUACUGUUGCAGCUCCAGCUGUCUGAUCUCGCAUUCUCGGAUCUGCAAACAAGUUUGAGACAUCAUGUCUGAUGAGGAAUGUGCACAGAGGUUGCCAUCAUCAUCACCGGUAUCUUCACCAUCUUCAAUCUUUGAAUGUGCACAGAGGUUGCCAUCAUCAUCACCGGUAUCUUCACCAGUAUCUUCAGUGACCGAAUGUGGACAGAACUCCCCAGAUUCCAUCCCAUCUUCCCCAACAAUUAUACCAACAACUCCCAAGGCACCAGCUUCUACUGCUCGAGGUUAUUCAUCUUUUUCUUCUCCCCCAGGAUCAGGUUGGGAGUCAGCUAGCUCUUCACAUUUGGAGGACGGAGGAAACUAUCUGUACUGGUACACGAAGGACAACACACUAAAGAGGAAGCGGGUGUCCCUGUCACCUGUUCCAAUAUAUGUAACAAUGGCAGCUGGUGAAGUAAAAAAACGGGACAUUGUUGAUAGACUGGCUAAAGGAUCAUGUGAUGACGUUGUGAAAUGGUUGCUUGGUGGACAGACAAAUGAAAAUGUUAGCAUCCUGAAACAGAAAGUGAAGAGGGUGAAUGUGAAAUACAAAAAACUUCUGAAAAGCCAGCACAGAAAAACAGGAAAGGAAGCAAUAGAUACAUUUUUAGAAGAGACUUUUAGAUAUGGGAUUGAACGACAACAACAAGAACAGGAGCCAGAGGCACACACAUCCACCCUCGAGGGUGAACUUCGUAGAUUACACACUCCAUCCACGCAUGAAAUUUUGGUGGAGACAGUUCAGAGUGACAUGAAAAGAAAAGAUGAGAGAAUACAAGAAUUAGAAGAACGAGUGAAGCAACUCAAUAUCGAGAUGGAAAAUAAAAAUAAAGAGAUGGAAAAUACAAAUAGAGAGCGAGAAACUCUAAUGAGGAGAAUACGUGCGAAAAACUUGCAACUGAAAAGAGAAAGGGGAAAGCACAAGUAUUAUAGAGAGAAAUGUUCUGAACUUGAAAAGACACAACCAGAGUAUACUGAGGAAGUUACUCAGCAGGAGUCGGCUGACACAGAAGAUAUAGAAGAUAUUAGGAAGGAAGUUAUUGAAAUGGAAUAUAGAAUUUAUGUUCUGCAGGAAGAGGUAACCUCUGAUACAGUAGAACUAUACGACGAAGACAAUAAAGAGUUUACCCCACAAACACAACGGUGUGUUCAAAGUUUAUUGACUGAAAAUGUUGGAAUAAAUCAUGUGGGAAACGUAAUCAGAGAAGUUCUGAAACUUGUGGACAAAAAACCAAACAGAGUGCCCAGUCAUUCAACGAUUCGAAAUAUGAACUUACAGCGGCUUGUAAUCGCACAGAAGCAAAUUGCUGAGGAGGACCUUAGAGCAGGGGACUUGGUCGUGGAGGAGGAGGAAGACUAAAGUAAGCAUACAAUGCUAUUCACAAAAGCAAAACCCUACAAGGUGUAUCUGGCACAAGUGGCCCAACUGGAUGGAGCAAGAUUAUAAAGAAGUCAUCAUGAUGGAGGAUUAAACUGAGAAUUAACAAUCUCAGGUCAAAGGUCAACAAAAUGUCCAGAAAUAUGCCACCAGAAUCAGUGCCAUUAUAACAAGGGUGGAUUGCCAGAAGAGGGAUGAACGGAUACUGUUCUUGUCAUCUUGCCGAACGUAAAGGACCCAUUAACUUUUCAACGGAGGCAAGGAAACUGUGAAGGCUGUGAAAACACUGGUUGAAUUCAUGUCACUGAGUGUAAACAUGGAUACACCCCCUUAUCUGGUUCUAACCAUCUUCCAAGCAGAGGUGAGAGAGAUAGUCUACCAAAGAUGACACCAAUCUUCAAGACUUCAUCUACACGGAAUGUCUGGCGUGAAGGUCUUUGCUGAAGUAUGGUCAACAUAAGAAUGGAUUUGACACCAAACUCUUCAUAUCCACCCUUCAUCUUGUGUUAAUGAGGUUCCUAGUAUUCAUGAUAGAGAUAGUUUACAGGGAUAUUCUCUUGACACCAGUCAUUAUCUACAUUCUGUCUGGUCUUAGCCUUAUUUCAACUGGGCUUUUAAACAUUUUUCUGUUAUACAUGUAGAGUGUAGAUGAUGUUUGGUGUUAAGUGUAUGGCUAUGUGGAUUUAUAUUCCCAAGAAUGUCUAGAAUAUGAUUAAA
RNA transcript from Lytechinus variegatus (green sea urchin), 2785 nucleotides. RefSeq lists it as uncharacterized. The record is from RefSeq and is a predicted model, not a curated record. The transcript has 5 exons. NCBI's taxonomy places the organism in Eukaryota, Metazoa, Echinodermata, Echinoidea, Temnopleuroida, Toxopneustidae.